UAGUGUACAUAGAGUGGGGUGCUCAUUUUCGCCACAUCUUUCCAUGUUUUCUACAGUUUAUGUUCAGGUCUAAAUGUUUUUGAAGUAUACUGAUAUUUCUAUAUGAAGAUAACUUCAAAUGCAAAAUAUACUUAAGCUUGAAAACCGGUUUGUUUUAAGAAAAUCAUCUGAAAAGUUAGAUUAAAUGGUGUUUGAAAUUUCCGGAUGUUUUGUCAAUGGGGGACACAUAUUCGCCGUUUUUACACAUCUAUUUAAAACUAAAUAACCGCAGCUUUUAACAUUUUUUAUCAAAUCAAUUGCAUUAUAGAUGAAUAGCAGACAUUUCAAAGGUAUAAAGAAUUCAAAAUUAGGGCAUUCAGUCAAAUAUUUACUUAGAAAUACUUCUUUGAAAUCGUUUUUUUUUAAUCAGGAAAUUGCCCGAAAAUCGUUGUCCGUUUUCGGUCAUUUUCGGUAGGAGCCGCAAUUUUGUCUCAGUUUAAAAAAAUACUAUAUUUGUUAUAAAAAUAUAAUUUACGGGUACAUUUCUUCCAUUUCAGCCAUCCUUUGAAGUUUUUACACCUCAAAAUCCUUAAACGGCGAAAUUGUGUCCCCGGCGAAAAUGAGCACCCCACUCUACUUGUCUUA
RNAcentral lists this long non-coding RNA (624 nucleotides) under Mytilus galloprovincialis (Mediterranean mussel). Lineage: Eukaryota; Metazoa; Mollusca; Bivalvia; Mytilida; Mytilidae. The record is from RNAcentral.